Molecule: long non-coding RNA, 1744 nt
Filed under: Lynx pardinus (Iberian lynx)
Lineage: Eukaryota; Metazoa; Chordata; Mammalia; Carnivora; Felidae
Source: RNAcentral
CUUGCCCCCCACCGAGGACAGCAAGCCGAGAUUUAGUUUCCACCUCUCCCAGGAAUGUGACUUUCUAACAGUCAACCUGAAAUGUUUCCCUCAGCACUGGUCAUGUAACCUGCAUGAUAAACACCGGCACUGCCCACCCCUCCAAAGCAGAUGUCCUGGCCUACAGCAAUCCUUUCUUUUCUUUUGCUAAUAACAACCCCAAGGAGGCUCCAGGCUCUAAACUGUCAGCACAGAGCCCUAUGCGGGGCUCGAACUCACGAAGAACCGUAAGAUCAUGACCUGGGCCCAAGUCAGAGGCUUAACCGACUGAGCCCCUCACGCGCCCCGAUUUUUAUUUUUAUUUUAAAGUAAUCUCUACACCCAACGUGGGGCUCGAACUUGCAACCACGAGAUCAGGAGUCGCACGCUUCGCCGACUGAGUCCCGCCUCCUCUUUAAAAAGUAACCAUACCUUUUUAACAGAGAAUUCUAGUUUCACAUCACGUUCCUUUUCCAAAGUUGGGGAUCCUUAACCUGCUAGUGCUUCUUCACAGACGUUUCAAUGAGGGUGCAACAGAAGCAGUAACGUUAGCUUGAGUCUACAAGGCACAGUGCACAUCCAAGACACCAUCAGAAACUGAUUUAUGGUUAAGAUCAACGCACACCAGGUUGUCAAUCCUAGCGAAUGAAUGGGCCGUGGCAGAGUAAAAAGAACACACCUCAUUGUGUUAGCACCCUAUCGCGAAAAGACAGAAGGACAGGCAAUACAUAUUCCUGUUUGUCAUGUUACCGUUUAGCGCACCUGCAGUAAAAAGAAACAUAUACUUUUUUACUUUCUGGGUUAAAAUAAAUCGUCGGCUGGUGAUUUCUCCCAGCUCCCAGCUAUGAAAAGUGAAACACUUGUUCCUGCCUCUGGCUCACUGGAGCAUCUUAUUCGUGCUGGGGACAAAAAGAACAGCAGCACUGGAGACAAGAGCAUGUAUGUACCCUGUCGUCAGGAUGGGUGCACGUGUGACGCUCACGCAAGCUGCCUUAAAACAAAAUGAAGGGGCGCCUGGGUGGCGCAGUCGGUUAAGCGUCCGACUUCAGCCAGGUCACGAUCUCGCGGUCCGGGAGUUCGAGCCCCGCGUCGGGCUCUGGGCUGAUGGCUUGGAGCCUGGAGCCUGUUUCCGAUUCUGUGUCUCCCUCUCUCUCUGCCCCUCCCCCGUUCAUGCUCUGUCUCUCUCUGUCCCAAAAAUAAAUAAACGUUGAAAAAAAAAAUUAAAAAAAAAAAAAACAAAAUGAAAAACAGGAGCGCCUGGGUGGCUCAGUCGGUUAAGCGUCCGACUUCGGCUCGGGUCGUGAUCUCACGGCUCGUCGGUUCGAGCCCCGCGUCGGGCUCUGUGCUGACAGCUCGGAGCCUGGAGCCUGCUGCCGGCCCUCUCUCUCUGCCCCUCCCCAGCUUGGGCUCUCUCUCGCUUUCAAAAGUAAAUAAAACAUUAAACAAAAUGAAAACCAGAGGCACCUGGGUGGCUCAGUCAGUUAGGCGACUAACUCCACGUCAGCUCAGGUCUGGAUCUCAGGAUUGUGCGUUUAAGUCCCGCAGUGGGUUCACAUGCUGGGCACUGGGCGUGAGGCCUACUUAAAAUAUUAUAUAUAUUUAGAUGCCUUUUAGGAAAGGUUUCUUUAUUGUCCUGUGUGUCAGUAACUCGUAGAAAAUAACUGUAUGAAGGGCGCCUGGGAGGCUCAGUCAGUUAAGCAUCUGAUUUGGGCUCAGGGUGUGAUCU